This 566-nucleotide ribosomal RNA is filed under the name Pycnogonum litorale. Its description in RNAcentral is "SSU rRNA". It matches the Rfam family "Eukaryotic small subunit ribosomal RNA", at positions 798 to 1367 of the family's 1831-position model. The record is from RNAcentral. Lineage: Eukaryota; Metazoa; Arthropoda; Pycnogonida; Pantopoda; Pycnogonidae.
AAUAAUGGUGCAUGGAAUGAUGGAAGAGGACCUCGGUUCCAUUCUGUUGGUUUUCGCGAGGUAAUGAUUAAGAGGGACAGACGGAGGCAUUCGUAUUGCGACGCUAGAGGUGAAAUUCUUGGACCGUCGCAAGACGAACUACUGCGAAAGCAUUUGCCGAGAAUGUUUUCAUUAAUCAAGAACGAAAGUUAGAGGUUCGAAGGCGAUCAGAUACCGCCCUAGUUCUAACCAUAAACGAUGCCGACCAGCGAUCCGCCGGAGUUCCUUCUAUGACUCGGCGGGCAGCUUCCGGGAAACCAAAGUCUUUGGGUUCCGGGGGAAGUAUGGUUGCAAAGCUGAAACUUAAAGGAAUUGACGGAAGGGCACCACCAGGAGUGGAGCCUGCGGCUUAAUUUGACUCAACACGGGAAAACUCACCCGGCCCGGACACCGGAAGGAUUGACAGAUUGAGAGCUCUUUCUUGAUUCGGUGGGUGGUGGUGCAUGGCCGUUCUUAGUUGGUGGAGCGAUUUGUCUGGUUAAUUCCGAUAACGAACGAGACUCUGGCCUGCUAAAUAGGAGCCGAUC